Molecule: ribosomal RNA, 396 nt
Filed under: uncultured Nitrospira sp.
Lineage: Bacteria; Pseudomonadati; Nitrospirota; Nitrospiria; Nitrospirales; Nitrospiraceae
Description: bacterial SSU rRNA
Rfam family: Bacterial small subunit ribosomal RNA
Source: RNAcentral
CAAGUCGAACGAGAAUGUGUAGCAAUACACAUGUACAGUGGCGAACGGGUGAGGAAUACAUGGGUAACCUACCCUCGAGUGGGGAAUAACUAGCCGAAAGGUUAGCUAAUACCGCGUACGCUUCCCGGACUGCGGUUCGGGAAGGAAAGCGAUACCGUGGGUAUCGCGCUCUUGGAUGGGCUCAUGCCCUAUCAGCUUGUUGGUGAGGUAACGGCUCACCAAGGCUUCGACGGGUAGCUGAUCUGAGAGGAUGAUCAGCCACACUGGCACUGCGACACGGGCCAGACUCCUACGGGAGGCAGCAGUAAGGAAUAUUGCGCAAUGGGCGAAAGCCUGACGCAGCGACGCCGCGUGGGGGAUGAAGGUCUUCGGAUUGUAAACCCCUUUCGGGAGGGA